UACAGGGGGGGCAAGCGUUGUUCAGAAUUACUGGGCGUAAAGGGCUCGUAGGCGGCCAACUAAGUCACACGUGAAAUCCCCAGGCUUAACCUGGGAACUGCGUGUGAUACUGGAUGGCUUGAAUUCGGGAGAGGGAUGCAGAAUUCCAGGUGUAGCGGUGAAAUGCGUAGAUAUCUGGAGGAAUACCGGUGGCGAAGGCGGCAUCCUGGACCGACAUUGACGCUGAGGAGCGAAAGCUAGGGGAGCAAACGGG
Molecule: ribosomal RNA, 253 nt
Filed under: uncultured bacterium
Lineage: Bacteria
Description: partial 16S ribosomal RNA
Rfam family: Bacterial small subunit ribosomal RNA
Source: RNAcentral